AUCGGGAUAGUGUAACGGCAACACGGUCGGCUCUGACCCGGCAGUUAAAGGUUCGAAUCCUUUUCCCGAUGCCA
This 74-nucleotide transfer RNA is filed under the name Oscillospiraceae bacterium. RNAcentral's name for it is "tRNA-Gln". It matches the Rfam family "tRNA". Rfam says of the family: Transfer RNA (tRNA) molecules are approximately 80 nucleotides in length. Their secondary structure includes four short double-helical elements and three loops (D, anti-codon, and T loops). The record is from RNAcentral. Lineage: Bacteria; Bacillati; Bacillota; Clostridia; Eubacteriales; Oscillospiraceae.